GAGUUUGAUCAUGGCUCAGAUUGAACGCUGGCGGCAUGCUUUACACAUGCAAGUCGAACGGCAGCACGGGGUUUACCCUGGUGGCGAGUGGCGAACGGGUGAGGAAUACAUCGGAACGUGUCUAUAAGUGGGGGAUAACGCAUCGAAAGGUGUGCUAAUACCGCAUAAUCUCUCAGGAGAAAAGCAGGGGAUCGCAAGACCUUGCGCUUUAGGAGCGGCCGAUGCCUGAUUAGCUUGUUGGUAAGGUAAAAGCUUACCAAGGCUUCGAUCAGUAGCUGGUCUGAGAGGACGACCAGCCACACUGGGACUGAGACACGGCCCAGACUCCUACGGGAGGCAGCAGUGGGGAAUUUUGGACAAUGGGGGAAACCCUGAUCCAGCCAUGCCGCGUGAGUGAAGAAGGCC
Molecule: ribosomal RNA, 405 nt
Filed under: uncultured marine bacterium
Lineage: Bacteria
Description: bacterial SSU rRNA
Rfam family: Bacterial small subunit ribosomal RNA
Source: RNAcentral